Molecule: ribosomal RNA, 485 nt
Filed under: uncultured bacterium
Lineage: Bacteria
Description: bacterial SSU rRNA
Rfam family: Bacterial small subunit ribosomal RNA
Source: RNAcentral
GAUGAACGCUAGCGGGAGGCUUAACACAUGCAAGUCGAGGGGUAAAUGGCAGCAAUGCUAUGAGACCGGCGGACGGGUGCGUAACGCGUAUGCAACAUACCUUGUGCAGGGGGAUAGCCCGUGGAAACGCGGAUUAAUAUUCCAUAGUCCCAGCUGUAUCGCAUGGUAUAGUUGGUAAAGAUUUAUCGGCACAAGUUUGGCAUGCGUCUGAUUAGCUUGUUGGUAGGGUAACGGCCUACCAAGGCUACGAUCAGUAGGGGUUCUGAGAGGAUUAACCCCCACACUGGUACUGAGACACGGACCAGACUCCUACGGGAGGCAGCAGUGAGGAAUAUUGGUCAAUGGGCGGAAGCCUGAACCAGCCAUCCCGCGUGAGUGAAGAAGGCCUUCGGGUUGUAAAGCUCUUUCGGCCGGGAAGAAAUCGUAUGGGUUAAUACCCUGUGCGGAUGACGGUACCGGCAUAAGAAGCACCGGCUAACUACGUG